AGCGAUAUGUCCCAAUGAGAUCAGCUAUUGACCACCCUAACACAUUCAUAAUUAUAUAUCCCAGCUGUUCCUGAGAGCCUGCAAUGGGAGAAGUUUUGGGAGUUGGCUAGGGGACUAAAUUAGCCUUCCAAGAUGAAAACUGAGAGAGCCUACACCAGAUUCUGGAAAGGUAUUUCAGCAUGGCCUCUGCAGCUUCCUUCUCUUCUUUAGCCUGGUGCCGGAAAAACUUUGAAAAGUUUGGUAGAGCCA
Terrapene triunguis (Three-toed box turtle) is the source of this 249-nucleotide long non-coding RNA. RefSeq lists it as uncharacterized. The transcript is spliced from 3 exons. Lineage: Eukaryota; Metazoa; Chordata; Testudines; Emydidae. The record is from RefSeq and is a predicted model, not a curated record.